RNAcentral lists this ribosomal RNA (366 nucleotides) under uncultured bacterium. Its description in RNAcentral is "partial 16S ribosomal RNA". It matches the Rfam family "Bacterial small subunit ribosomal RNA", at positions 338 to 701 of the family's 1533-position model. The record is from RNAcentral.
CCUACGGGUGGCAGCAGUGAGGAAUAUUGGUCAAUGGGCGGAAGCCUGAACCAGCCAAGUAGCGUGCAGGAUGACGGCCCUACGGGUUGUAAACUGCUUUUAUACGGGAAUAAAGCGCCGUACGUGUAGGGCUUUGCAUGUACCGGAUGAAUAAGGACCGGCUAAUUCCGUGCCAGCAGCCGCGGUAAUACGGAAGGUCCGGGCGUUAUCCGGAUUUAUUGGGUUGAAAGGGAGCGUAGGCCGCAUGUCAAGCGUGCGUGGAAAUGGCCGGGCGCAACCCGGGCCGUGCAGCGCGAACGGGCGUGCUUGAGUCCGCGGCAAGCAGGCGGACUUCGUCGUGUAGCGGUGAAAUGCUUAGAUCUUCCG